GAUGAACGCUGGCGGCGUGCCUAAUACAUGCAAGUCGAGCGAACGGACGAGAAGCUUGCUUCUCUGAUGUUAGCGGCGGACGGGUGAGUAACACGUGGAUAACCUACCUAUAAGACUGGGAUAACUUCGGGAAACCGGAGCUAAUACCGGAUAAUAUUUUGAACCGCAUGGUUCAAAAGUGAAAGACGGUCUUGCUGUCACUUAUAGAUGGAUCCGCGCUGCAUUAGCUAGUUGGUAAGGUAACGGCUUACCAAGGCAACGAUGGAUAGCCGACCUGAGAGGGUGAUCGGCCACCCUGGAACUGAGACACGGUCCAGACUCCUACGGGAGGCAGCAGUAGGGAAUCUUCCGCGAUGGGCGAAAGCCUGACGGAGCAACGCCGCGUGAGUGAUGAAGGUCUUCGGAUCGUAAAACUCUGUUAUUAGGGAAGAACAUAUGUGUAAGUACCUGUGCACAUCUUGACGGUACCUAAUCAGAAAGCCACGGCUAACUACGUG
Molecule: ribosomal RNA, 497 nt
Filed under: uncultured bacterium
Lineage: Bacteria
Description: partial 16S ribosomal RNA
Rfam family: Bacterial small subunit ribosomal RNA
Source: RNAcentral